GAUGAACGCUAGCGGCAGGCCUAACACAUGCAAGUCGAGGGGCAGCACGUCUUCGGAUGGUGGCGACCGGCGCACGGGUGCGUAACGCGUAUGCAACCUACCUCUUACAGUGGGAUAGCCCAGAGAAAUUUGGAUUAAUACCGCAUAGUAUACAGAUUCAGCAUUGGGACUGUAUUAAACAUUUAUGGGUAAGAGAUGGGCAUGCGUUCUAUUAGUUAGUUGGAGUGGUAACGGCACCCCAAGACAGCGAUAGAUAGGGGCCCUGAGAGGGGGAUCCCCCACACUGGUACUGAGACACGGACCAGACUCCUACGGGAGGCAGCAGUGAGGAAUAUUGGGCAAUGGGCGAAAGCCUGACCCAGCCACGCCGCGUGAGUGAAGAAGG
Molecule: ribosomal RNA, 385 nt
Filed under: uncultured bacterium
Lineage: Bacteria
Description: bacterial SSU rRNA
Rfam family: Bacterial small subunit ribosomal RNA
Source: RNAcentral